This 245-nucleotide ribosomal RNA is filed under the name uncultured Arsenicicoccus sp. Its description in RNAcentral is "partial 16S ribosomal RNA". It matches the Rfam family "Bacterial small subunit ribosomal RNA", at positions 796 to 1041 of the family's 1533-position model. The record is from RNAcentral. Lineage: Bacteria; Bacillati; Actinomycetota; Actinomycetes; Micrococcales; Intrasporangiaceae.
CAUGCCGUAAACGUUGGGCGCUAGGUGUGGGGCUCAUUCCACGAGUUCCGUGCCGCAGCUAACGCAUUAAGCGCCCCGCCUGGGGAGUACGGCCGCAAGGCUAAAACUCAAAGGAAUUGACGGGGGCCCGCACAAGCGGCGGAGCAUGCGGAUUAAUUCGAUGCAACGCGAAGAACCUUACCAAGGCUUGACAUACACCGGAAACACCCAGAGACGGGUGCCCCGCAAGGUCGGUGUACAGGUGG